GGAAAGGAUAGGGGAUUUCUGCUGGAACAUUCAUGGAGUAUGGUUGCUACCACUUCAGGUCUUCCUAGCCCUUGUUAUUUUGUAUAGGAAUCUGGGUGCUGCCCCCUCAUUUGCUGCUCUUUCUUCCACAAUUUUGAUUAUGGUGAGCAAUACACCAUUGGCCAAUAAGCAAGAAAAGCUGCACACCAGGAUCAUGGAAGCUAAGGACUCAAGAAUUAAAGCAACUUCAGAGACUCUCAAGAGCAUGAGAGUCUUGAAACUGUAUUCAUGGGAAUCUGCAUUUUUGAAGAAGCUUCGUAAACUCAGAGAUGCCGAGAGAGAAUGGCUGAAAAGAUAUCUCUAUACAAGCUCAUUCAUAGCCUUUCUCNGGGCUUCACCAACUCUAGUCUCUGUCAUUACCUUUGGAGUCUGCAUUCUACUAAAAACACCAUUAACAACAGGUUCAGUCCUCUCAGCGUUAGCCACAUUCCGAAUUCUGCAAGAACCCAUCUACAACCUGCCUGAGCUCAUUUCCAUGAUUGCUCAAACUAAGGUCUCAGUUGAUCGCAUCCAAGAGUUCUUAAAAGAAGAUGAUCAGAGAAAGCAAAUACCUUGUAACAUCUCACAAGCAUCUGACAUCUCAAUUGAAAUUGAAAUUGGAGAAUAUGCUUGGGAAACAAAUUAUCAGAACUCAAGGAAACCUACUAUUAAAAUUACGGAGAAAAUGAAAUUAAAGAAGGGUUACAAAGUUGCAGUGUGUGGAUCAGUUGGGUCUGGCAAAUCAAGCCUACUCUGCAGUAUACUUGGCGAGAUCCCCAGAAUUUCUGGAGCAGGAAUUAAGGUGUAUGGAGCAAAGGCUUAUGUUCCCCAAAGUGCUUGGAUUCAAACAGGGACAGUGAGAGAAAAUGUGUUGUUUGGCAAGGAUAUGGAUAAGGCUUUCUACGAGGAAGUUCUGGAAGUAUGUGCUUUGAACCAGGAUAUUGGGACAUGGGUGGACAGAGAUUUGAUUGUGGUGGGAGAGAGAGGGAUAAACUUGAGUGGAGGACAAAAGCAGAGAAUUCAACUUGCAAGGGCUGUUUAUAGUAAUUCAGAUGUUUAUAUCCUGGAUGACCCUUUUAGUGCUGUUGAUGCACAUACUGGAACACAUCUGUUCAAGAAAUGUUUCAUGCAAUUAUUGUCUCAGAAAACUGUCAUAUAUGCUACCCAUCAACUGGAAUUUUUAGAUGCUGCUGACCUUGUUCUGGUGAUGAAAGAUGGUGUGAUUGUCCAGUCAGGAAAAUAUGAAGAUUUAAUUGCAGAUACAACUGGGGAACUUGUUACACAAAUGGCUGCUCAUAAAAAGUCUAUAAAGCAAGUGAACCCACCCCCAGAAUAUAAUGUCUUAACCAGUGGACCCUCUCAGUUAAAUGAAAAUGAAGUCAUAGAAGAGACAUUUGAAGAACCUAUCAGUAACAGGAGAAUUUCAGAGAGAAAUCAAGAAGAAUUAACAGAAACUGGUAGAGUGAAAUGGAGUGUUUACUCAACUUUUGUUACUUCAGCUUAUAAAGGUGCACUUGUUCCAGUCAUUCUUCUAUGUCAAGUCCUCUUCCAGGGACUCCAGAUAGGAAGCAAUUAUUGGAUUGCUUGGGCAUCAGAGGACAAACACAAGAUAACCAGAGAGCAGUUGAUUGAGAUAUUCAUUUUGUUGUCUGGUGGAAGCUCUAUCUUUAUAUUAGGGAGAACAGUUUUGCUGGCAAACAUUGCUGUUGAGACUGCUCAACGACUCUUCCAAGGAAUGAUCGAAUCAGUUUUUAGAGCACCUAUUUCAUUCUUCGAUUCAACUCCUUCAAGUAGAAUUCUCAACAGGUCCUCUACAGAUCAAAGCACAGUGGACACAGACAUUCCCUACAGAUUAGCUGGAUUGGCAUUUGCACUAAUUCAACUUUUAAGUAUAAUUAUCCUUAUGUCUCAUGUCGCUUGGCAGGUCUUCCUUCUCUUUCUUGUCAUUAUCGGAAUCUCCAUCGGCUAUCAGGCCUAUUACAUUUCCACUGCUAGAGAAUUAGCCAGGAUGGUUGGAAUCAGGAAGGCUCCUAUCUUGCAUCACUUUUCAGAAUCUAUUGCAGGGGCAGCAACUAUUCAUUGUUUCAAUCAGGAAGAUCGCUUUUUGAUGAGAAACCUUAGCCUCAUUGAUGAUUAUUCUCGCAUAGUCUUCCACAACACAGGCUCAAUGGAAUGGCUAUGCAUUAGAAUAAACUUUCUUUUCAACCUCGUUUUCUUCCUUGCUCUGAUCAUCUUGGUGAGCCUUCCCAGGUCAGCUAUUGAUCCCAGCUUGGCAGGGCUGGCAGCUACCUAUGG
Molecule: unclassified non-coding RNA, 2313 nt
Filed under: Hevea brasiliensis (rubber tree)
Lineage: Eukaryota; Viridiplantae; Streptophyta; Magnoliopsida; Malpighiales; Euphorbiaceae
Source: RNAcentral